This 71-nucleotide transfer RNA is filed under the name Planctomycetota bacterium. RNAcentral describes it as "Planctomycetes bacterium (anaerobic digester metagenome) tRNA-Gln". It matches the Rfam family "tRNA". From Rfam's summary of the family: Transfer RNA (tRNA) molecules are approximately 80 nucleotides in length. Lineage: Bacteria; Pseudomonadati; Planctomycetota. The record is from RNAcentral.
UGGGCCGUGGUGUAAGGGCAGCACGGCGGACUCUGACCCCGCCGGUCCAGGUUCGACCCCUGGCGGCCCAG